This is a long non-coding RNA of Maniola jurtina (meadow brown), 1524 nucleotides long. RefSeq lists it as uncharacterized. The transcript is spliced from 2 exons. The record is from RefSeq and is a predicted model, not a curated record. NCBI's taxonomy places the organism in Eukaryota, Metazoa, Arthropoda, Insecta, Lepidoptera, Nymphalidae.
CGCGUUAUAUAACUUAUUUAUUUAUUCAAACAAUAGGUAUAAGUAUUUAAGAAUACACAACUAAAUAUUGGAAACUGCUGCAAAAAUAAAAAUGAUUUUUAACUAAAAGAAAUUAUAUAUUUAAGUGCAUUAAUUAUUAUUUACUUAUUAAAAAUUAUUAUUAGUCUAGUAAUAAAUUGGAGUAAGAUCUUUUUCAAGGAAAAGUUUCACCAUAAUCUUUAGGAUAAAAGUUUAAUAAUAAUAUUUAUUAAAAUUAUUACAAUAAAUAUUAUUUAAAAUAUCACCCCAUCCAAAUCUUAAUAGGAUAUCAUAUAAGAGUGAAAUUAGGAAGAACUGUCAAAGAUCAUCCUAUUAAGGUUCCUUAGUCUAAGGUUCAAAUCUAUAGAAUGCACUUUGCUUAGACUUAAGUUUCAGUUAAAACGAGACAGACUUAUGCCAGCAGUAUAACGCUGUCUCGUUUUAACAGUGUCAAAAGUCAAAAAGUGUAAGUCUGAGCAAAGUCAAAGUGUACUCUAUAGAUUAGCCUUAGUCCUAUUAGCAUUUGGACAGGAUAAAUAAACAUUUAGAAUGUCUUUAGAAUUCAAGGCAAGGCAGGAUUCAAGUCAACGACAAUACGCCUGAAUAUACUGACAGACUGGGUGUAAGACCUACCAAUUAUAAUCCGAAUAUCUUUAAAACAAGAGUGAAUAGGCAUGUUCUAGGUAAACGCGUUCCAUCCUAAGUCCAUCUAUCAUCACUUUCCAUCAGAUGUGAUUAUGGUCAAGCGUAAACCUAUAAUGUUUUUUUUAAAGUACCACUAAAGGUGAACACACACUUAUUUGAGCCGAACGCGUCGAAAGAGUCGAACGAAACAAGUUUUAGAAUUCUGUAUAUGAAAUCUCAUGAAACCACGCACACUUCUGCGCGUUGAAGAUUCGGACGAUUCGACGGGGGAAAGUGUGCGAGGUUUCAUGAGAUUUCAUAUCCAGAAUUCUAAAAUUUGUUUUGACGUGUUCAGCUUGGAUAAGUUUGUGUUCACCUUAACUCGCACCCAGUCUGCGCGCUCUCAUAGCACUUGGAAGAUUGGUAUUGUUCGUGCGUAUUCGUACGUGUUCGCACGAGUCAAAUUCGUACGAAAUCGCAUCCAAAGUGCGGCUAGCCUUAGUCCUUUUUUGGAAACCGUGCAUUAGCACCAAAAUAUAAAAUGUAUAAUAAUUUUAUUUACUGUAAUUUAGCUAAUGUCUGGCAUGUGUUGCAAUGCAACUAUUGUAUGUUGAUACUAUGUCUGAAACCUUCAUGCAAGUGCAUACAAUAACUGUACAAAAUGUCACAUUAAUCAGGUGAACUAUGCGCGAACUCGUAGGCAAUAAACAGACAGACGGACAAAAUAAGAUAAUCAAAUCAUCAUUUACUUUGAAUUUUGUAUAAUAUAGGCAGAUCAUAAUCUAUAAGUAACCAAGCUGGCAUCAGGUAAAAAUAAAAAGACCUCUGGUCGAUAGUGGAGGGGAUUUGUUAGCGCAUGGGUACUGUACUAUGCCACAGUGC